AUAUAAAGAUAAGGAGAAGGAGGAGGAAACGAAGAAAUUUGACGAGCAUACGUUAAAAAAUUGGUGUAUAUAAUAACAAUAAUAUAUAUAUAACGUAUAUGCGCAUGUAUACAUGAUUCUUAUUACAACAGCUUUAUUUUUAGUCUAGCCUAACCCAAACCGCCGGAAUCAGAUUCGCAAGAGCGGUCGUUUAUAUAUAUAAUAUAUUAUAUAAUAUAUUAUUCAUAAUAUAUUAACAUCUCUCGUCCUCCUUACGACUUCCUUGAAUUCUUAACGCUAACGGCGCUUUAAAUUACAAAAAAGUGGUUGCCCUAAAACCCACCUUACACCUUCCGCACCAAACAUGGACGUCUUCUUUUCGUUUUCGCGUCUAAAUUACGCUGGAAUAAUAUUACCUUAAUAUACUCUAAAUCUAUACCUACAUAUGUAUAUACCUUUAAAAUGCAAUAUUGAAAAACGUUUAAAAACGCGUGUUCAAAAUGUGACGUGUUGCACACACAAAAAUUUAAAUUCUAUCAAAUUCUCGGACAUUAACCCUUUCAGUACCAAAUAUUAAGUGUAUAUUAAGUGGAAUAUUAAAUAUAAUACAUUGAUAGAAUAGUAAAUGUGUAGAAGUUCCAACGAUUUCUCUUCACUCGUCUCGCAACUCGUCGCACGAGUUGUCGGAAGAGCUCUAUAGUUUCCGCUAUUAAAAGACUUCAGGGCGAGAAUGGCGGGAUUGGAGCAAAUCCGUAAUUCGUAAGGUCUACCUCAAGUUCGACUUUAUGUGGAACUAUAACGAGCAACGAGUUUGAACCACUUUCACUGUGCGAGCUUUUCAUUCGACACUGUAGAACUGUGUUAACGUGCAGUUAACAUUGGAAAAACCCGUUUCGCAGUUAAGACAGUUGAUUCCCUUUUAUUUAACACCGUAAAACUGACGCGCAGUUUGUGUAUCGAUCUUUUAUUUAACAGCGCGAAAUUGACGCAAUUAUGCUAACCCUUCGUUUGGCGUUACGGAAUUGUGUCAACGCUUCAUCUCAACGCCACCGACAACCUGCGAGCUGUCUCCAUAUGUCGCUCCACGUGGUGUCCUAAACGGAUGCGUAUUCGAGGGAAAUUGAAAAAAAAAAAACGCGAAUGCAAUGUAUACGGCGCGCAAUGGAUACGGAAAGGGACGAGCAAAUUCGAUUAAAAUCUGACUAAUCUGACGAUGACUAGGUCCCUCGAGAGAUUCCACAAAUAUCCGUAAGCAAAUACAUCUAAAAAAAAUGUCAAUCAAGAUUAACUCAGUCAUCGUCACAGCUUGUUCUUCAACAUUAUACAACGAUAACCAAAAGAAGCUAACGCGUGCAGUAGUGACGGAUAACAAUCACGAGUCACGAUGGCGAUGCGUAUCAUCCAGCAAAGUUUCGCUCGCUCUCUGUUUCGAGGAAGUAAGUCGCCUAGAAGUCGUCGCAAAAAUGUAUCGAGCGCCUUCUUCGACGAUACUGCAAGCUCCUACAACAUCAACAGCCAAUUGAAGACGAAACAAAGCACUAGGAAGGUAUUAGCCAAUGCAAACACAUCACAAUGAGAUGCUGAGUCGAUCAUUCGAGGGGCUUGCUCAUGGACAGGUGGCCACAAAGAAAUUCAUAACAAACAAAAUGACCGGAAGAACUUGGAAGAGGUGUAACUAAUAACAAAGAUGGUAACAAUUGCCAGUUUGUUCGCUGAUUCAAGUCUGAAUCAGUUAAUCCUCGCUCGCGUAUUAUUGAUACAUAUAACUAAAAAAAAAAAAAUCAAAAUAAAAUUGCAUGCAACAAAAAAA
Long non-coding RNA from Wasmannia auropunctata (little fire ant), 1789 nucleotides. RefSeq lists it as uncharacterized. Lineage: Eukaryota; Metazoa; Arthropoda; Insecta; Hymenoptera; Formicidae. The transcript has 3 exons. The record is from RefSeq and is a predicted model, not a curated record.